CACUGAGGUAUAAGAAGAUUAAGAUGAAAGUGCACGAGUUGGAAAAAACUGAAAACCACAGCUUAAUGCAAAACAGGCAACACAGAAUACAGUACAUGCAAUGAGGAAACUCUCUAAUCACAGUUGAUCUCGGUUGCUACGGUGAUGGUAACCGGGCUGGUCCUGGUAACGGACUGUGAGUUUUGAUUUCAGCUGAAAAAUCAGGCUGUUUGUAAGCUCUGCAGAAUGGCAUGGUGAAACGUGCAGAUGACAAGGAUGCUAGUAAAGCUAGCACUACUGAGAAAAGGCAAGACAAAGACAUGGAGAUUAAACACUUUUUACAGCCACAACUCAGCAAGGUCUAAGGAUUCAGGAUGAGACAACUGGUGUGUUUUUUAUACACUGAGGUAUAAGAAGAUUAAGAUGAAAGUACACGAGUUGGAAAAAACUGAAAACCACAGCUUAAUGCAAAACAGGCAACACAGAAUACAGUACAUGCAAUGAGGAAACUCUCUAAUCACAGGUUAUCAAUUAUUGGUGUCCUGGAUUGCUGAUCAUCAGUAUCAGGUUCAGCGCUGGAAAAAGCAGGAGUCGACCCCCAGCUGAAAUAAUGUAUACAUUUAUCCUAGGCUGUUUCUGGCACUGACCAGUGUGUUGUCUGCUGUACCACUGUGUCUCGUCAUCCUCAGUGAGUGAGAGACAGUCAGAGAAAUGGAGAGGAGAAAAAAUAUUUAAACAGAUUUAGAUUUUAAUUCAGAAGGGUUUCACAGUGAUAAUCCCAGAGAGACUGAAACAUACAGCAGUGGUAUGCACAGACUCACUAAAGGGCAGGUGCCAAAUGUCUGAAAUAUCAGUGAAUUUGACUUGAAGAAUGCUGUUGGACCACCAGAACCCUGCUUUGGUUUCAAAAGCCUCCCCAUUUUUUCACCCCUGAUCUCACUCAUACACCCUAGAGUCCCCAGGAACACACCCGCCAACUGUGAAGCAGGUCAGGUGAACGGUUUAAUGUGACUUCUGUUGAGACUAGUGAUCUGAAACGUGAAUCUGUUCCUUCCAUCUGAGACGAGUGAAGGAAAUGCUUGGAGAAAAAAAUGAGGCAAAGAGAGCCACCUCACAAACAUAAAGGAGUCGAAGUGUGGUGACAAACGAGGGCGGGGUCGCCAACUGCAAAAUGGACAAGACGUUUUGUCUUUUUUGAUUUUUUGGCUGCUAAAUAUUUUGCCACUCAGCAAUAUGUUAUGAUGUUUGGCAUUCAAAUGGACACCAACAUUUAAACCACAUUAAAUUAUGCCAAAUAGUA
This is a long non-coding RNA of Acanthopagrus latus (yellowfin seabream), 1279 nucleotides long. RefSeq lists it as uncharacterized. The transcript is spliced from 6 exons. The record is from RefSeq and is a predicted model, not a curated record. Lineage: Eukaryota; Metazoa; Chordata; Actinopteri; Spariformes; Sparidae.